Chelonoidis abingdonii (Abingdon island giant tortoise) is the source of this 135-nucleotide unclassified non-coding RNA. Lineage: Eukaryota; Metazoa; Chordata; Testudines; Testudinidae. The record is from Ensembl.
AUGGUUAUUCUGUUUAUCUACAGAAUACAGGCAGUCUAGGCAAUGGUGGGGCAAGCUUCUCCUAUACUGUCCCACCAAUGCUCUUCAACCUGGACCUUCUCUAAAAGUGAAAGGAUUGUUCAGUCCUUGGCCUGU